UUCUAAUUCGCCUAAAAUAGAUAUUAAGGAAACAUUAAAAUUAAUCUAGUCUUUGUGGGUUCGACCUGUACUUGCCAGUUCUUCAAUUCGACAUUGUGCACUUGCAGUACAUAAUUUUAACACAUCAGUUACACAAUAAAUUAAGAGAAUACAAAUUUACCUUUAAUUAGGUUGAGAAACCUAAUUAACUUCGCCACCCAAAAAACACCCCAAGCAAUAAAGUCUUCAAGCUUUAAAUUGAACAGAGAUGACGAGGGAUACCUACGAACAACAAAUUGUAAUCCUCUCAAUUUAUUCUUUUGAUACCUUCUUGCUACCAAGCUUCUCUCAUGUGUAAAAUAAGAUUCCCUCAUAGCCUUAUUUAUAGUAUACUCUUCCUAAUCCAUUCUUAUUAUGGAUUAGAAAUAAUUUAUUCUUCAAAUCAAAUUAGGGAUCACAUCUCCUUAUCUUAGUCUUCAACCAAUCUAACAAGUAAAUCCUUUUUUAACUUGAAUUCCUUUCAUGGGUGAGGACACACCCAACCUAGCGAACGUAGUACACAUUGGUUAACCGUUCAUGCACUUAAAGUUAAUGCAAAUAGUUGGUCAUUUAUUGAUGUUUGUAGCGGAUACAGGAAAAAAUAAAUACGCAACUAAGACUUUUGUGAAUUUUCAGUUAACCAAAAAUUGAAGUAGGUCUCAUUGUAGAUGUUCAAGUUCCAUUUGGUGGUUUUUGAAAUUAGAAUUGAUGGGAUGCCAUUGUUAUAGCAUGUUCGACAAUAACUUAAAAGUUAGUAAGUAGUUUUUGGCUGUUGAUGUGUUUGGGAGUAAUUUAUUUUUUGACUUACUAGUUGGUAGUCCGUGCAAUGCACAGGCUAGUUUGAAUAACAGAUUGUAUAAUUUAUUAAAAUUAAAAUGAGAAAAUUAUUUUUUUUAUAAAAAUUUAUUUUCAUAUAAACUGUUCAAUACAUUUUUUACAUGACAUGAGAAGAAAACUUGCUAAUAAACAGUAAAAGCUUUUUCUGAUUGGUUUUUAUUCUUGGUAAGAAGGAGUAGCGCCUGUUAGAAAGUCAUUCUUCAACAACAUUCAGUUGCUCAGACUGGAUCUGAGACAAAUUGAUAUCUUCCUUCACAAAAAAGCUAGCUGGAUUAGUGCCUUAAACACUGUCGACUGCAAGCCUCAUUGAUCCUUUGAACAUGUCAAUUUUUGCAUUACACGGGAUCACAGUAACACCCUCUUUCAUCAAGUCCACUGAACAUAAGACAUCUUUCAGUGUACAACUAAAGAUGAGAAACUCAAUUUUGUGCAAAUGCGAGAGGUUAAAAUUUAAAAUUAUUCUUGCCUAUGAAAUGAGCAGCAGUUGUAAGCACAAUUCCAAGCCAGUAAAAUUUUACCCUUUUCAAAAAAAAUAACUUAGUAUAUUAAAUUGGCUCUUAAGAACUAUAAAGAAAUAAAAAUUUCAAGAAUCUAGCUAUCUGAAAAUUGUAAAUGGUAAUCUUCUCAUUCCUCGAAAAUCACUGUCAACCUUCUAGUUAUAUCUAUAACACGAAUUCAUUACAAAACAUUUGUCAUAUCAUCCACAUAUACCUCAUAUUUUGAGUCUUUAUUCAGCAUAUCAAUAGUUGUAAAGAAAAUGAACAAAUGAGGAGUCCACAUUAAACAUCAAAAAUCAAUUGGUCAUGUUUAUGCAAACUGAAAUUCUCAAUUUGGGAUCAAGUGGCUAUCAGUUGAGAUCUCUCCUAACAAAGUAGACCAAACUUAGAAUAAUUAACACAUAACAUUAUAAGGAAAUCAAAGUAAAGGCUAAAUGACAAUGUUUUUGAGUAACUUCAACAAUAAACCAUACCCUGAUCGUUUUUUGCUUUGAAUAUAAUCAUUCCAGUCUCGUCAACUACCAAGCAUUUAGCAAGACGCAUUUAGUGUCCUUAACCUCCCUGCAUUAUCAUCUUUGACUAAAAACCUUUAGAGUUAGGUUAUAUUAGUAUACAUUCUAGGCAUUAUGAAAUAUUAAUGUAUAUUUCUUUUUGGCAUUUAAUCAAACAUGUAAUGUACACAUUUUACAGAUAAAGAUCAACAUACACAAAUUUCUGUAUCAAUAGAAUCUCAUAGCAAGCAUAUGCACAACAAUAUAUAAGCAUACAUAAUAACAUAUAUACAAUUAAAAGAGGCAUAAGAGCAAACAACUUUAUUAAAUCAUCAGCCUUUUUGAGAAAUUGAUUAAACAGCCAUACCACAAAAUACAUGUAAAACAAUUACUAAACAAAUAGAAAAAGUGAUGAAAAACAGAUAACCAAAAAGAAUGUCAAUAUCCUCACCUGAGAACUUUAGCAGCAUAAAUUAUCCAUUAACUUCAACUGCACUUACUCUAUAAUUCAACAUCUACUAAUUUUACCAAAAUUUUGAAUUUUUAUAACCUUUUUAGCAACAGUCAAAUUCUGAUCAUGACCAAUUAAAAAACAUAAAACAGACCCAUCACCCAAAAAUCUAUUUUAUUCCAGGAAAAUAAAUAAAGCAAAUCGGUUGAUGCAAUCUGAUUAUAUCAGAACUGGAAUUGAGUAGGAAUUUAAAUUGAAUAAUUUAUAAGUUUCAUCAAUGCAACACCUUGCCUCCCAAUGUUUCUCAAUUUUUUUCCACCCCGACUACUCCAACUCAACUCCGCACAACAGUUGUUGUUACUGUUAAUCUAAAUACAUAAUUAUUAUUUAUUUUGUCUCUAAACCUUAAAAAAUUAAAAAUAAAAUUUCUUCUUCCAAAGAAUAUCAAACUCUUUUUCCCCCAAAUCAUUAAAUAAUCUCACAUAAACAACAUCAAUGCCCAUGUCCAUCAAGUCAUUAAAUCAUCUCACAUGAACAACAUUAAAACACUUAAGUGUGUACCUGGCGAAUUCAAAAUCAAAACCCUUGGACAACUCUAUUCUCCGCAAUCAAUAUGUGAGGCUGCUAAAAAUUUGUGAAUUUCAAUAGGCACUGUAGUUCUGCUCACAAAGUACCUUCUCAUCAAAUCUAUAAAAAAUUCAACAAAUACUAAUCAAUAUAUAUAAAUAUACAUGUUUAAUUUAAUACUAUAUUAUUUUAAAUUUAGAUAUUAAAUCCAUUAAUACAAUAUUAUUUAUAAAUUUAAGUAGUAAUAAUACUUUUCAUUUUAUUUUUUCUCAAAAAUCAAACAGAAAACAUAACAAACUUGAUUUCACGAUGCAAACCAGUUCAGUUCAACCUCUAUUUAUCUCAUGUUUUCCCCUAGGUAGCAUAUUCUCUAUGCAUUGAGAAAACAGACAAAGCAUAAUUAUUCAAGAAUUAAUGAUUAAUGAUUGGAAAAUAAUUCCAUAAUUAUGCCUCAACAAUUAACGAAAAUUAAAUCUAAAAUUGAAAUAAAUUAUUCAAGAAUUUCACGCAAGAUGAAUUGAAACAAUAUAGUCAUUAAUUUUUGAACAAAUCCAUGAACAAAAAAACCCAAAUCACAUACCUAAUUUUCAAGAAGAAAAAACCCCAAUCAUAUACCUAAUUCAUUUUUGUACAAAUUCAUAAUGAAACCAUCCCAAAUCAGAGAUCCAAUUCAUUUAUGAACAAACCCUUAAAGCAGAAUUCACAAAUAUAUAGACACAAGAAAUUAAAGAAGAAAAAGAAUAUGAAGACACACAAAAGUUGCAUAAGGCUUACAGCCGAUAAGAAUUCGGUUUAGCGAAGUUGAGGAGGUGGAUAAAGGGAUCAACGACGACACAUGAAGUUUUCUUGCUGUGAGUUGGUGGAUUAAAUAGAGUGAUUGUCAUGAGGGGGAGAAGAGAUUUGAGAGAAUUGAAGGGAGGAUAAGAGAUUUAAGAGAACUGAAGGGAGGAGAAACUAGAGGGUCUGAAGAGUUAAACGAAAACGAUGAUACGUAUACGGAAGAGUAAGAGCUCAG
This 3876-nucleotide long non-coding RNA is filed under the name Panax ginseng (ginseng). Its description in RNAcentral is "long non-coding RNA (PGIN_LNC010972)". The record is from RNAcentral. Lineage: Eukaryota; Viridiplantae; Streptophyta; Magnoliopsida; Apiales; Araliaceae.